Molecule: long non-coding RNA, 1096 nt
Filed under: Apteryx haastii (Great spotted kiwi)
Lineage: Eukaryota; Metazoa; Chordata; Aves; Apterygiformes; Apterygidae
Description: lncRNA (ENSAHAG00000009051.1)
Source: RNAcentral
GGCGCUGCCGGCCCCGGCCCGGAUGCCAGCGCGGUGAGGUGGAGCUGGGAGCGGCCGCCAGAACUGGUUUGGCCGGACGCGAGGAGGUGUCUGGGCUGGGCUCCGAGACGCUCCGCUUCCUCCUCCCGCCGCCGCCCGCCUGGCACGGCACCGCUCCGCUCAGCCCGGCACGGCUCCGCUUGGCUCCGCUUGGCUCAGCCCAGCACGGCUCCGCUUGGCACAGCUUGGCUCAGCCCGGCACGGCUCCACUCGGCUCAGCCCAGCGCAGCUCAGUUCAGCUCCACUCAGCCUGGCUCAGCCCAGUACAAUUCAGCCCAGUUAGGCUCAGUUCAGCCCAAUUUGGCUCAGCUUGGCCUGGUUUGGCUCAGCCCAGCCCAGCUCAGCUUGGCUCGGCUCAUUUUGGCUCAGCUCAGCCCAGUUCGGCUCAGCCCAGCCCGGCUCGGCUCGGCUCAGCUUGUUUUGGCUCAGUUCAUCCCAGUUUGGCUCAGCUUGGCCUGGUUCAGCCCAGCCCAGCCCAGCCUGGCUCGGCUCAGCUCACCACCGCCUCCCUGCAAAGCCCAGCGCCGGAGUUGGGGGUGCUGGGGCUCUCGGGGACAGUUUGGGAGGAUUCAUCCCAUGGGGCUGCAGUGAGCUGCCACCGCAAGGAAGCAGCUCCAAGGGGUGGGGGGAUGCGCGGGCAGUCAGGGAUUCUCUGGCGUCUCGUACGAGGUUGUGCUCGCAGCRGGGCACAUGCUCCCCAUCUCCCCGGCUGCCUCUUCCCGGAAACACGUGGGUGUUUGAGGCCGAUUUGGGUCCUAAAGUGUUUGGGGCUGGGGCAGGAGGGACAGCGGGAGACCCAGCGGAGAUGCCACCGCCCCUGGGGCGCAGCAGGAGGCCUGGCCUGGCUCUCGGCAGCACUCGUGGGCUGUGGUGGGGGAUGGCAGCUGGACAUGUCCCCCCAGCCGACAUCCCACGGGCUGAUGGGCAGAGCUGGCUGCUGUCCCGCAGCCGGUGACACCUCGCCAGGGUCCCACGGGACCCACCACGCUCCAUUCCCAGCACCCUGAUCCAGACCAGGGUUUCCUGGAGACCCAGCCAGGUGCCUUCGCUUUCACCC